UUCAGUAUUGAUUAAAUUGUGGCAUCAAUGAAUUAUCUAGUCAUUUCAUUUUUUUUCCAGGUAUAACAAGCCCUUACUCAACACCCAAAGGAAAUCGGCAAGUCCGAUUUUCAAUAACACCGAGAAUGACAGCUCCAUUGUGUGAAGAAUAUAGAAAUCCUACAUCCCCCUCUCAAUGUUCCGAUAAUUGCUUCGCAACGACAGCCUAUAGUUAAACCUAUUUUUCUAAAUAUCAAGUUCCGACCACAGAAUUCACUUAAUAUACGUCCAUCAGUAACCCCACAACAUCAGCUACUAAUAAUCGUGUCAAACGUUCUAGUUCUGCCAUCUUACUAUUAACGGAAAAUAACAAUAAUCUAAACCGUGAAUUCAUCUCCAUUGAAACCAAUCAUUUUGAGGUUAUCACUGAAGAUAUACUGAUCAAUCCACAGUUAUUACAAACGUCGUCGCCGAAUGAUAAUCUAGCAUUGUUAAAUGUGAUGAAUGACAAUGAUGACGCGCAACUGAAUUGUGAAGAAAACAGUACUAAUGAAGAAAGUAGUCAAAAGGAGGACGAAGAGGAAGAAUUUCCACCCUUUCAUAACAACAACGAAACUCUAAAUCUUGUAAAUGAGCAAGACGAAAACAGCCACGUAUAUGUAAAUAUUGAUGUAACUGAGAACGCAAGAGAUAACGAUAUCAGUGAAUCUGAUAUCGUUCUCGCUUCGCUCAGGCGUAAACGCCACACGAGACAAGAAUCUACUUUCCCGCACUUGUAAUGUACUAUUAAGAUAUCUUUCUGUAGACAUCUUUGAAGUGAACUUUAAAUUGAUGACUAAGAUUUCAUAAACAAAUUUUUUUUAAAAACUCCUCUCUAAUAUAACAUUAUGUUAUCUUUACUACUUGACGUUAAGAUAUCUUCAAAAUGGAUAGUUCAAGUCAACAUUCCAGACAACUCAUGUUUGCCUGGGUAACCAAGCCUGAUAAAUGACGGAUGGAUCUCUAACAAAGCAUUCGCUCAUUAUUCAUAAAAAUCUCUUUUCAUGAAUUCAUCCAACAAAAUAACCAACCAAGGUA
This is a long non-coding RNA of Phymastichus coffea, 1056 nucleotides long. RefSeq lists it as uncharacterized. The transcript has 3 exons. The record is from RefSeq and is a predicted model, not a curated record. Lineage: Eukaryota; Metazoa; Arthropoda; Insecta; Hymenoptera; Eulophidae.